RNAcentral lists this transfer RNA (65 nucleotides) under Anoplophora horsfieldii. RNAcentral's name for it is "Anoplophora horsfieldi tRNA-Trp". Lineage: Eukaryota; Metazoa; Arthropoda; Insecta; Coleoptera; Cerambycidae. The record is from RNAcentral.
AAGGAUUUAAGUUAAUAAAACUAUUAACCUUCAAAGUUAAAAAUAGAAUUUAAUUCUAAGCCUUA